RNAcentral lists this transfer RNA (77 nucleotides) under Shewanella putrefaciens. RNAcentral describes it as "tRNA-Pro". The record is from RNAcentral. Lineage: Bacteria; Pseudomonadati; Pseudomonadota; Gammaproteobacteria; Alteromonadales; Shewanellaceae.
UUUCAGGCUCAAGACCCGCUAAUUGACGCAAAUAAUUAACUUGUUCAACGGGCAAUUCAACCCAACCACCGCGGGCA